RNAcentral lists this small RNA (100 nucleotides) under Macrostomum lignano. RNAcentral describes it as "Nematode sRNA ceN72-3_ceN74-2". It matches the Rfam family "Nematode sRNA ceN72-3_ceN74-2". Lineage: Eukaryota; Metazoa; Platyhelminthes; Macrostomidae. The record is from Rfam by way of RNAcentral.
CAAGGCGGUCCGGAGUCGAUGGCUUAACAAAACUUACUCAUGAUAGAUAGAUAGAUAGAUAGGCAUGAAAUACGGCCAUCGGCACUAACUUGACUGCCAA